GAUGAAGAACGUAGCGAAAUGCGAUAAGUAAUGUGAAUUGCAGAAUUCCGUGAAUCAUCGAAUCUUUGAACGCACAUUGCGCCCCCUGGCAUUCCGGGGGGCAUGCCUGUCCGAGCGUCAUUUCUGCCCUCCAGCCCGGCUGGGUGUUGGGCGCUGUCCCCCCGGGGACACGCCCCAAAGGCAGUGGCGGCGCCGCGUCGGGUCCUCGAGCGUAUGGGGCUUUGUCACCCGCUCGGGACGGACUCGUCGGCGCUGGUCUUCCUCCAGGCGACCCUUCGGGGCUCGUCUUCCUUCGGUUGACCUCGGAUCAGGUAGGGUUACCCGCUGAACUUAAGCAUAUCAAUAAGCGGAGGGA
This 355-nucleotide unclassified non-coding RNA is filed under the name soil metagenome. RNAcentral describes it as "partial contains 5.8S ribosomal RNA, internal transcribed spacer 2, and large subunit ribosomal RNA". The stretch from base 1 to 120 matches the Rfam family "5.8S ribosomal RNA", at positions 35 to 154 of the family's 154-position model. The record is from RNAcentral.